UGAUACUAAGCCAUGCGAGUCUUUGUAGUAAUACAAGGCAGACGGCUCAGUAACGCGUAGUCAACUUACCCUAUGGACGAGGAUAAUCUCGGGAAACUGAGCAUAAUACUCGAUAGAUCAUAAUGCCUGGAAUGGUUUAUGGUUGAAACGAUUCGUCGCCAUAGGAUAGGACCGCGGCCUAUCAGCUUGUUGGUGAGGUAAUGGCCCACCAAGGCGAUUACAGGUACGGGCUCUGAGAGGAGAAGCCCGGAGAUGGGUACUGAGACAAGGACCCAGGCCCUAUGGGGCGCAGCAGGCGAGAAAACUUUGCAAUGUGCGAAAGCACGACAAGGUUAAUCCGAGUGAUUUCUGCUAAAGAAAUCUUUUGCAAGUCAUAAAACCACUAGUGAAUAAGGGGUGGGCAAGUUCUGGUGUCAGCCGCCGCGGUAAAACCAGCACCUCAAGUGGUCAGGAGGAUUAUUGGGCCUAAAGCAUCCGUAGCCUGCUCUGUAAGUUUUCGGUUAAAUCUAUAUGCUCAACAUAUAGGCUGCUGAAAAUACUGCAGUGCUAGGAAGUGGGAGAGGUAGACGGUACUUGAUAGGAAGGGGUAAAAUCCUUUGAUCUAUCGAUGACCACCUGUGGCGAAGGCGGUCUACCAGAACACGUUCGACGGUGAGGGAUGAAAGCUGGGGGAGCAAACCGGAUUAGAUACCCGGGUAGUCCCAGCUGUAAACGAUGCAGACUCGAUGAUGCAUUGGCAUAUAGCCAGUGCAGUGUCGCAGGGAAGCCGUUAAGUCUGCCGCCUGGGAAGUACGUACGCAAGUAUGAAACUUAAAGGAAUUGGCGGGGGAGCACCACAAGGGGUGAAGCCUGCGGUUCAAUUGGAUUCAACGCCGGA
RNAcentral lists this ribosomal RNA (877 nucleotides) under uncultured marine group I thaumarchaeote. RNAcentral describes it as "bacterial SSU rRNA". It matches the Rfam family "Archaeal small subunit ribosomal RNA", at positions 39 to 922 of the family's 1478-position model. Lineage: Archaea; Thermoproteati; Nitrososphaerota. The record is from RNAcentral.